GAUGAAGAACGUAGCGAAAUGCGAUAAGUAGUGUGAAUUGCAGAAUUCAGUGAAUCAUCGAAUCUUUGAACGCACAUUGCGCCCCCUGGUAUUCCGGGGGGCAUGCCUGUUCGAGCGUCAUUUCACCACUCAAGCCUCGCUUGGUAUUGGGCAACGCGGUCCACCGCGUGCCUCAAAUCGUCCGGCUGGGUCUUCUGUCCCCUAAGCGUUGUGGAAACUAUUCGCUAAAGGGUGUUCGGGAGGCUACGCCGUAAAACAACCCCAUUUCUAAGGUUGACCUCGGAUCAGGUAGGGAUACCCGCUGAACUUAAGCAUAUCAAUAAGCGGAGGA
RNAcentral lists this unclassified non-coding RNA (331 nucleotides) under soil metagenome. RNAcentral describes it as "partial contains 5.8S ribosomal RNA, internal transcribed spacer 2, and large subunit ribosomal RNA". The stretch from base 1 to 120 matches the Rfam family "5.8S ribosomal RNA", at positions 35 to 154 of the family's 154-position model. The record is from RNAcentral.